CGGAACGGGUGAGUAACGCGUGAGGAACCUGCCUCAAAGAGGGGGACAACAGUUGGAAACGACUGCUAAUACCGCAUAAGCCCACGGCUCGGCAUCGAGCAGAGGGAAAAGGAGCAAUCCGCUUUGAGAUGGCCUCGCGUCCGAUUAGCUAGUUGGUGAGGUAACGGCCCACCAAGGCGACGAUCGGUAGCCGGACUGGGAGGUUGAACGGCCACAUUGGGACUGAGAUACGGCCCAG
Molecule: ribosomal RNA, 238 nt
Filed under: uncultured bacterium
Lineage: Bacteria
Description: partial 16S ribosomal RNA
Rfam family: Bacterial small subunit ribosomal RNA
Source: RNAcentral